GACGAACGCUGGCGGCGUGCUUAACACAUGCAAGUCGAACGGUGAACUCCGCUUGCGGGGGGAUCAGUGGCGAACGGGUGAGUAACACGUGGGCAACCUGCCCUCAGCUCUGGGAUAACUCCAAGAAAUUGGGGCUAAUACCGGAUAUGACCGCUGACCGCAUGGUCUGGUGGUGGAAAGAUUUAUCGGCUGGGGAUGGGCCCGCGGCCUAUCAGCUUGUUGGUGGGGUAGUGGCCUACCAAGGCGACGACGGGUAGCCGGCCUGAGAGGGUGACCGGCCACACUGGGACUGAGACACGGCCCAGACUCCUACGGGAGGCAGCAGUGGGGAAUAUUGCGCAAUGGGCGAAAGCCUGACGCAGCGACGCCGCGUGGGGGAUGACGGCCUUCGGGUUGUAAACCUCUUUCAGCAGGGACGAAGCGAAAGUGACGGUACCUGCAGAAGAAGCACCGGCCAACUACG
This 463-nucleotide ribosomal RNA is filed under the name uncultured bacterium. RNAcentral's name for it is "partial 16S ribosomal RNA". It matches the Rfam family "Bacterial small subunit ribosomal RNA", at positions 28 to 505 of the family's 1533-position model. The record is from RNAcentral.